This 253-nucleotide ribosomal RNA is filed under the name uncultured bacterium. Its description in RNAcentral is "partial 16S ribosomal RNA". It matches the Rfam family "Bacterial small subunit ribosomal RNA", at positions 524 to 776 of the family's 1533-position model. The record is from RNAcentral.
UACGUAGGGCGCAAGCGUUAUCCGGAAUUAUUGGGCGUAAAGAGCUCGUAGGCGGUUUGUCGCGUCUGCCGUGAAAGUCCGGGGCUCAACUCCGGAUCUGCGGUGGGUACGGGCAGACUAGAGUGAUGUAGGGGAGACUGGAAUUCCUGGUGUAGCGGUGAAAUGCGCAGAUAUCAGGAGGAACACCCAUGGCGAAGGCAGCUCUCUGGUCGACCUCUGACGCUGAGACGCGAAAGCGUGGGGAGCGAACGGG